RNAcentral lists this ribosomal RNA (345 nucleotides) under uncultured bacterium. RNAcentral describes it as "bacterial SSU rRNA". It matches the Rfam family "Bacterial small subunit ribosomal RNA", at positions 1 to 334 of the family's 1533-position model. The record is from RNAcentral.
GCGUCGUCUUCAGAGUUUGAUCCUGGCUCAGGAUGAACGCUAGCUACAGGCUUAACACAUGCAAGUCGAGGGGCAGCAUUAUCUUAGCUUGCUAAGAUAGAUGGCGACCGGCGCACGGGUGAGUAACACGUAUCCAACCUUCCGGUUACUCGGGGAUAGGCUUUCGAAAGAAAGAUUAAUACCCGAUGUUGCGUAUCUUUCUCCUGAAAGAUACGCCAAAGGAUUCCGGUAACCGAUGGGGAUGCGUUCCAUUAGGCAGUUGGCGGGGUAACGGCCCACCAAACCUUCGAUGGAUAGGGGUUCUGAGAGGAAGGUCCCCCACAUUGGAACUGAGACACGGUCCAA